RNAcentral lists this ribosomal RNA (415 nucleotides) under Amanita muscaria (fly agaric). RNAcentral describes it as "eukaryotic LSU rRNA". The stretch from base 1 to 126 matches the Rfam family "5.8S ribosomal RNA", at positions 29 to 154 of the family's 154-position model. The record is from RNAcentral. Lineage: Eukaryota; Fungi; Basidiomycota; Agaricomycetes; Agaricales; Amanitaceae.
UGCAUCGAUGAAGAACGCAGCGAAAUGCGAUAAGUAAUGUGAAUUGCAGAAUUCAGUGAAUCAUCGAAUCUUUGAACGCAUCUUGCGCUCCUUGGUAUUCCGAGGAGCAUGCCUGUUUGAGUGUCAUUUCUACUCUCAAGAACGCAGCUUGGUGUUGAGUUUGCUCGGCUUACUUGAAAAUUAUUCAUGCAUCUGUCUAGGUUCUACCAAUUCUUUUGCAUCUUUUAAGUUUGACCUCAAAUCAGGUAGGACUACCCGCUGAACUUAAGCAUAUCAAUAAGCGGAGGAAAGGAAAGCAGGCUGCAGGUGAUGCACUGUGAUCUCUCUGCUCUCUAAUUGACAUUUUGUCUGAUAACUUGACCUCAAAUCAGGUAGGACUACCCGCUGAACUUAAGCAUAUCAAUAAGCGGAGGAA